This 331-nucleotide unclassified non-coding RNA is filed under the name soil metagenome. RNAcentral's name for it is "partial contains 5.8S ribosomal RNA, internal transcribed spacer 2, and large subunit ribosomal RNA". The stretch from base 1 to 120 matches the Rfam family "5.8S ribosomal RNA", at positions 35 to 154 of the family's 154-position model. The record is from RNAcentral.
GAUGAAGAACGUAGUGAAAUGCGAUAAGUAAUGUGAAUUGCAGAAUUCAGUGAAUCAUCGAAUCUUUGAACGCACAUUGCGCCCCCUGGUAUUCCGGGGGGCAUGCCUGUUCGAGCGUCAUUUCACCACUCAAGCCUCGCUUGGUAUUGGGCAACGCGGUCCGCCGCGUGCCUCAAAUCGACCGGCUGGGUCUUCUGUCCCCUAAGCGUUGUGGAAACUAUUCGCUAAAGGGUGUUCGGGAGGCUACGCCGUAAAACAACCCCAUUUCUAAGGUUGACCUCGGAUCAGGUAGGGAUACCCGCUGAACUUAAACAUAUCAAUAAGCGGAGGA